UACAGGGGGGGUAAGCGUUGUUCGGAAUUACUGGGCGUAAAGGGUUUGUAGGUGGCUUGCUAAGUCGGACGUGAAAUCCCUCAGCUUAACUGGGGAACUGCGUCUGAUACUGGCGAGCUUGAGUGCAGGAGAGGAACGCGGAAUUCCAGGUGUAGCGGUGAAAUGCGUAGAUAUCUGGAGGAACACCGGUGGCGAAGGCGGCGUUCUGGACUGCAACUGACACUGAGAAACGAAAGCCAGGGGAGCAAACGGG
Molecule: ribosomal RNA, 253 nt
Filed under: uncultured bacterium
Lineage: Bacteria
Description: partial 16S ribosomal RNA
Rfam family: Bacterial small subunit ribosomal RNA
Source: RNAcentral